AUGAACGCUGGCGGCGUGCCUAAUACAUGCAAGUCGAGCGAACGGACGAGAAGCUUGCUUCUCUGAUGUUAGCGGCGGACGGGUGAGUAACACGUGGAUAACCUACCUAUAAGACUGGGAUAACUUCGGGAAACCGGAGCUAAUACCGGAUAAUAUUUUGAACCGCAUGGUUCAAAAGUGAAAGACGGUCUUGCUGUCACAUAUAGAUGGAUCCGCGCUGCAUUAGCUAGUUGGUAAGGUAACGGCUUACCAAGGCAACGAUGCAUAGCCGACCUGAGAGGGUGAUCGGCCACACUGGAACUGAGACACGGUCCAGACUCCUACGGGAGGCAGCAGUAGGGAAUCUUCCGCAAUGGGCGAAAGCCUGAUGGAGCAACGCCGCGUGAGUGAUGAAGGUCUUCGGAUCGUAAAACUCUGUUAUUAGGGAAGAACAUAUGUGUAAGUAACUGUGCACAUCUUGACGGUACCUAAUCAGAAAGCCACGGCUAACUACGUG
RNAcentral lists this ribosomal RNA (496 nucleotides) under uncultured bacterium. Its description in RNAcentral is "partial 16S ribosomal RNA". It matches the Rfam family "Bacterial small subunit ribosomal RNA", at positions 29 to 507 of the family's 1533-position model. The record is from RNAcentral.